Molecule: ribosomal RNA, 459 nt
Filed under: uncultured bacterium
Lineage: Bacteria
Description: partial 16S ribosomal RNA
Rfam family: Bacterial small subunit ribosomal RNA
Source: RNAcentral
CCUACGGGUGGCAGCAGUGAGGAAUAUUGGUCAAUGGCCGAGAGGCUGAACCAGCCAAGUCGCGUGAGGGAUGACGGCCCUACGGGUUGUAAACCUCUUUUGUCGGGGAGCAAAGAGAGUCACGCGUGACGCAUUGAGAGUACCCGGAGAAAAAGCAUCGGCUACCUCCGUGCCAGCAGCCGCGGUAAUACGGAGGAUGCGAGCGUUAUCCGGAUUUAUUGGGUUUAAAGGGUGCGCAGGCGGAGGCGCAAGUCAGCGGUCAAAUUGCGGGGCUCAACCUCUUACGGCCGUUGAAAAUGCGUUCCUUGAGUGCGCGAGAAGUACGCGGAAUGCGUGGUGUAGCGGUAAAAUGCAUAGAUAUCACGCAGAACUCCGAUUGCGAAGGCAGCAUACCGGCGCGCAACUGACGCUCAUGCACGAAAGCGUGGGUAUCGAACAGGAUUAGAUACCCCAGUAGUC